This 492-nucleotide ribosomal RNA is filed under the name uncultured Ascomycota. RNAcentral describes it as "eukaryotic LSU rRNA". The stretch from base 155 to 308 matches the Rfam family "5.8S ribosomal RNA". The record is from RNAcentral. Lineage: Eukaryota; Fungi; Ascomycota.
CAUUACAGAGUUGCAAAACUCCCAACCCAUGACUAUAUACCUAUUUUGUGUCUUUCGGCAGGCGGCCCCGGGGAGGGGCCUCAGCCUACGGCGCCUGCCAGAGGGACCACUCCAUACUCUUUUACGUAUCUAUGAGUCCAAACAAAAAUAUCAAAAUUUUCAAUUGUGGAUCUCUUGGUUCUGGCAUCGAUGAAGAACGCAGCGAAAUGCGAUAAGUAAUGUGAAUUGCAGAAUUCAGCGAAUCAUCGAAUCUUUGAACGCACAUUGCGCCCAUUAGUAUUCUAGUGGGCAUGCCUGUUCGAGCGUCAUUUCCACCUUCGAACCUACGGGUUCGGUGUUGGGGUUCUUGCAUCUGCAAACUCCAAAAGCCAGUGGCGGGCUCGUUGCGACCCCAAGCGUAGUAAUUCACCUCGUUUAGGGCGUCCGACGGUGUUCUGCCGUUAAAAUCGUACUCUGUACCAAAGAUUGACCUCGGAUCAGGUAGGAAUACCC